UAACAUUUAAUUAAAAUAAUUAAAUAAUUUUAUUAUUCCAAUUAAAAAUGUCAUGUUUAUACGAUAGACAAUAUUCAUGAAUGGGAAGUAUUAGUUACAUAUUUUUCCUUGGGAUUUCAGGCAAAUGAAAAAAAGAUUGAGAAUGAUUUCAAGAGGACAGGUGGAUGAUAAGUAUUCAUUUUUGUAUAUUUGGCUAGUGGAUUUUUAUGGUAUUGAUCUUUUUAAAAAAAAAAAAAAAAUUCAAUUAGUUGCAGCCCUAGAGGAAGAGCAGGCUGAUCAAAUUGAUUUGUCUUGUUUUUCGGGCAAUCUACGACACGAUGACUGUGAUAAUGCUCGUGACUGCUGGAAACUUUCACUUAGAAAUUAUGAGGAAAAAGUAGUAUCCUUCUUAUUUACAAUCAGUACAAGGAUCCCUUUUAAAUAGAGCAAUUAUAACAGAAAAGGAAACUAAUUAAGAGCUAAUAUUUGACAGCUAUCAUCUAUAUUUACAUAGGAAAGGAUCCUAAAAUAUCUCUAGGAUUAAGGCUAAAAUCAAGGCCUAAUUUCCAACAAAAGAUUAAUCCUUCACUACUAUAUAACCCUCUUCAGCAGUUGAAAGUGUUGUUCCUCAUUAUCCUUCAAAACAACAAAAAAUCGUAUCUUACUACCUCAUUUUGAAGGUAAAAUAGCAAGACAAAAUAUAUUCCUUAGAUAUUCAACUCCCAAUCAGGAAUUCCCACAUUUAUUAAACAAAUAUGUCAGCCAUAGAAGCAUCAAUACAGUGGAACUCAAAGCUUUAACGAAUGCUUCCCUAAGUCUGAAUGAUGCUUACAUACAGUCGUUCAACAAUAACAUUUAAAUUUCAAUCAACGGUAUCACUAACCUCGGGUGGAUGCACUAUCACUUCGAGAUCAUCUUCUCCUCCUAGUGAGCAUUCGGGCCUCCUAAACGUCAGGAGAGAAGCCAAAGCAGCAAUAUUGGCAGCAUCAACAAGAUUUCUGUUCCCACACAAUGAUUAAAAAUUAACAAGAACACGACAUUUAACAUUGGUUAAAUAAAAUAACAAUACAAAUGCGCACACAAAACAUAUGGACAGUGGCAGGCCUAUGCCCGGUCUACCACUGGAAAAUUUGGCUUAUACCCCUUAACUUCUGCGGGAAAACAUUUAAUGGAUCUUGUUGCUGUUGAUUGGUUCCAAGACACAAAGAGAAUGGACCAUGUAGCUAGGCGUCAAGGCUGUGCUGCGCAAGUAACUAUUCUUUUAUUAUUUUUCCUUUUCCAUUGAUGCAUUAGGAGAAAAUACUGCCUGUGAGAUACUACAAUAUUAUGGUAUUGAUCUUUUUCUUUUUUUAAAAAAAUUUUCAAUUAGUUGCAGCCCUAGAGGAAGAGCAGGCUGAUCAAAUUGAUUUGUCUUGUUUUUCGGGCAAUCUACGACACGAUGACCGUGAUAAUGCUCGUGACUGCUGGAAACUUUCUGAUGGAAAUAACUUUAGAGUUCGUAGCAAGCAUUUUUGUUAUGACAAAACA
Molecule: long non-coding RNA, 1506 nt
Filed under: Citrus sinensis (sweet orange)
Lineage: Eukaryota; Viridiplantae; Streptophyta; Magnoliopsida; Sapindales; Rutaceae
Description: long non-coding RNA (CSIN_LNC001211)
Source: RNAcentral